Molecule: long non-coding RNA, 1377 nt
Organism: Brassica napus (rape)
Lineage: Eukaryota; Viridiplantae; Streptophyta; Magnoliopsida; Brassicales; Brassicaceae
Exons: 2
Source: RefSeq, a predicted model, not a curated record
AGCUUUUAACAAAUUGGAUUACUUAUUGUAUUACUGAUUAAAUAUACACGGAAUUAACACAAACUACCUUCUUACAAUUUUAAUUUUAAUACUGUAUAUUGACUAUUUUUUUUUAAAAAAAAGGAAGAGCUUUAAUGGAUUUUUUAUUCCGUGAAUUAUUAGAAACAAAAUUCAAGAUAAACUAACACAUAAUCUGUUUACAUUUUCAGAUAAUUAAAAAGAUUCCUAAAUAAUUUUUUUCCAAGUGAAUUUUUUUUUUUGUAGAGUAGCCUUAGGACAGAACUUCAACGGGAGUGGUUUCUUGAUCGGUAAAGGCAGACUCGAAGAACUUUUGAAUGAGGUAGUGUUAGUUCUUGGUGGUUUCACUUGCUCUGAUCUGUUCCCCUGUGGUGGACUUGGGAGAUUCCUAGAUUGGUUGUUUGGAGGACACAAUAGGAUAAACAAAGUGUUUGAAGAGCUUGAUGCUUUUUACCAGCAUGUAAUUGAUGAUCACUUGAAACAUGAAGCUCAAGCAGGAAAGAAAGCUAUGGAUUCUCAGGCGGAUAUUGUUGCACUCUUGUUAGGUAUGAUGGACAAACAAGGAGACAAAGAUUAUUUCAAGCUCAGCAUUGAUAAUAUCAAGGGAGUCAUCACGGAUAUAUUUCUAGCGGGGGUAGAUACAGGUGCUGUAACCAUGAUAUGGGCAAUGACGGAGCUGGCUAAAAACCCUAGAGUGAUGAGAAGGCACAAGAAGAGAUCCGAAACACCAUAGGGCUCAAAAAGGAAAGUAUCACUGAGGAAGACAUUGACAAAGUUGAUUAUUUGAAGCUCAUAAUCAAGGAAACAUUUAGAUUACACCCAGCACUUCCGCUUUUGCUACCAAGGGAAACAAUGUCCCAUGUCAAGAUCAAUGGAUAUGAUAUUCCUCCAAAAACACAAAUCCUACUUAACGUAUGGACCAUCGGACGUGACCCCGGUCGGUGGACCGACCCUGAAGCAUUCAUCCCUGAACGGUUUGCUAAAACUUGUGUAGAUUUCAAAGGACAAAGCUUUGAGCUAUUACCGUUUGGUUCUGGUAGAAGAAUGUGUCCCGGAAUGCCAAUGGCUGUUGCUCCUGUGGAACUAGGACUGUUGAGUUUGCUUUACUUUUUUGAUUGGACAUUGCCUGAAGGGAUGAUUAGUGAAGAAGAGAUUGAUAUGGAAGAAGCUGGUAAUCUUACCAUUGUGAAGAAACAACCUCUUCAACUUGUGCCUGUCCUACACCAUUGAUGAGCAUUGUGCUGUCAAAAAAUGCUUGAUUUGAGUUAUCGCAUUUAUUUUGUGUAUUCAUAUGUUUUUCACAAUGACAAUAGUUAUUCAUACAUAUAUGUCACAUAUAAUAUAUGUUUAUUUUUCUAA